This 21-nucleotide non-coding RNA is filed under the name Caenorhabditis elegans. The record is from RNAcentral. Lineage: Eukaryota; Metazoa; Nematoda; Chromadorea; Rhabditida; Rhabditidae.
UUUCAUUAGUAUUCCGUCGUC